This 58-nucleotide transfer RNA is filed under the name Micropotamogale ruwenzorii (Ruwenzori otter shrew). RNAcentral describes it as "tRNA-Ser". Lineage: Eukaryota; Metazoa; Chordata; Mammalia; Afrosoricida; Tenrecidae. The record is from RNAcentral.
AAGAAAGAUCUAAGAUCUGCUAACUCUUAAAUCCAUAGCUAACACUAUGGCUUUCUUA